Danio rerio (zebrafish) is the source of this 2040-nucleotide long non-coding RNA. The record is from Ensembl. Lineage: Eukaryota; Metazoa; Chordata; Actinopteri; Cypriniformes; Danionidae.
UUACUCGAAUAAAAAAUCCUCUUUGUUUCCUGAUAAGGGGAAUAACUCGAGUGUCUCCUCGAGCUCAGAGCCCUCCCCCCGGACAGCACGCCAAAUAUGCUUUAUACUUAAACGAAUGCAAGUGUGAACUCGUGAAGUGAUGUUUUGUAAACAAAUUUCGGGAGGAGCAUGCGCAGAAGUUUCAGUAUCGAAUACGUCAUUGACAAUCAUCCCAUUAUCAAAUCAGUUCUUGAACAAACCCCUAUAUAUACCAAAGCUGUCUUACCUGCAGCAUCUCACAACUUUAGCACCUCUUCACCACCCCGUCACCUCACCUCUUGCAUUAAAUCCCCGGGGGGAGCGUUCUGGGGCCAGGCUAGAUAGUUUGCUUGAAUUCCAACUACUCUUUGUUUCCUGAUAAGGGGAAUAACUCGAGUUGGGGUGACUCCUCGAGCUCAGAGCCCUCCCCUGGACAGCAUGCCAAAUAUGCUUUAUACUUAAACGAAUGCAAGUGUGAACUCGUGAAAUGUCUUCUUGUACUUUGCCUUUUUUGCCAAAGGGACGUAAUACCAUCUGCCAGAUGGAAGUAACAAAGGAACCAUGUAAAGGUUUAACCAUGCAAUCAGCACCCUUGUUGAGUAGUCAGGGCACUGAUGAGGGCUAUAGCCAUUUUAAUGUCUGUCUUCUUUGCAAAAUUCCAGUGCACUAAAAGUUUAUUUGUGUGGAUGUUAGUUUUAUGCAUGCUGAGUUGCCACAAAUUGAGCAGUUUAUUUUAUUUUUUUUGUCAGGUUUUGGCACACAGGUGAUAAAGAAAAAAGAUUCCUGAUGAAUCUCAUUUCUGCAGCAGUACACAAUGACACAGAUACAGGAACAAGUUUCUUAAAUCUGCUGUUAUCUGUGUGCAGUUAUAAAAACUUCCCUUUUAAUGAAGAGUGCAAUGAUUGUAAUCAGACUAAUUUCCUGCUGGAUCUUUGCUCAUAUGUGAAGAACUAUGAGACUCAAACAGGGAGGAGUUUCCUUCCAGCAUUACAGUCAGUUUUCCAGAUUCCUGAUGUCUGGAUCAUAGAUCUCUCACAGAGAAAGUCCUCCAUCCUUCUGGAAGUGCUGAAACUCCAAAGAGAGAAGAAACCAGUAGAGCUGAGAGGAUUUUCAGAGGAAGAGAGUGAAGUGAGGAGUUUCCUCCAGUGUCUGCGCUUCAUCUCACAGCUCAUAUUCUCUAAUCAGAGUGAAAAUGAUCGAAGCAGAUUUCUUGUGAGUCUCUUUAUCAAAGCAGCAGAGUUUGAGACACAGUCUGGAGAGCAGAUGCCGAAACUGUUAUCCUCAGUCUGCAUAUACACAUCAUUUCCUUAUGAAAAGACUGACAUAACUAAACAGACUGAUUUCCUGCUGGAUCUUUACUCACAUGUAAAGAACUAUGAGACUCAAACUAGCAGGAGUCUCCUUCCAGCAUUACAGUCAGUUUUCCAGUUCCCUGAUGUCUGGAUCAUAGAUCUCUCAAAGAGAAAGACCUCUGUCCUCAUGGAAGUGCUGAAUCUGCAAGCAAAUAAGAAACCACUAGAGCUGAGAAGAUGUUCAGAGAAAAAGAGUAAAGUGAGGAGAUUGCUCCAGUGUCUGCCCUUCAUCUCACAGCUCAGAUUCUCUAAACCGAGUAAAAGUGUUCAAAGCAAAUUUCUUCUGAGACUCUUCAUUAAUGCAGCAGAGACUGAGACACAGACAGGAGAGCAGAUGUUGAAACUGUUAUCCUCAGUCUGCACAUACAGCUCUUUUCCUUAUGAAAAAACUGACAGAAUUAAACAGAGUGAUUUCCUGCUGGAUCUUUACUCACAUGUGAAGAAUUAUGAGACUCAAACUAGCAGGAGUUUCCUCCCAGCAUUACAGUCAGUUUUCCAGUCUCCUGAUGUCUGGAUCAUAGAUCUCUCAGACAAAAAGACCUCUGUCCUCCUGGAAGUGCUGAAACUCCAAACAAAGAAGAAACCAGUAGAGCUGAGAGGAUUUUCAGAGGAAGAGAGUGAAGUGAGGAGUUUCCUCCAGUGUCUGCCCUUCAUCUCACAGCUCAGGUAA